Molecule: ribosomal RNA, 120 nt
Filed under: Pteropus alecto (black flying fox)
Lineage: Eukaryota; Metazoa; Chordata; Mammalia; Chiroptera; Pteropodidae
Source: RNAcentral
GUCUACGGCCACGCCACCCUGAACGUGCCCGAUCUCGUCUGAUCUCGGAAGCUAAGCGGGGUCGGGCCUGGUUCGUACUCGGAUAGUGAGACCACCUAGGAAGACCAGGUGCUGUAGGCA